UAGCUGUUUGCCUUGAAAAAAAAUCUUUCCGUCAAUUUGUAGCCUUCUCUUGAGCGUUCGGCUUCCCUAAGCCGCUUUGAGCGCUCCUUAUGGGAAUGGUUGACCUGGUUGGUGGAUCACUUCCCCAACAGAUGCCCUCAACUUCUGAUUUCGAAGCAGUCUUUCAACUUAUGGUGAAGGAAGUUAUCACCUUGGUAGUUGUUCUUUUGUCAUUGUAGCCAUUAGGAGAAGAUUCUCUUUUCUUUGUCUUGUAGUCAUAAAGCCGUCGCUGUCAUCCAUUAAACUAGUAGUGAAGAAAAAGAUAAGCUCCUCAAGUAGGGAUUCCUCGUCCAAGAGGGUAAGGAGCAUCCAACUAGAACUAUCUAUUUUUGAUCCAUCACAAUCCCUGGUGGGGACUGGGGAUG
RNAcentral lists this long non-coding RNA (404 nucleotides) under Elaeis guineensis (African oil palm). Its description in RNAcentral is "long non-coding RNA (EGUI_LNC007139)". The record is from RNAcentral. Lineage: Eukaryota; Viridiplantae; Streptophyta; Magnoliopsida; Arecales; Arecaceae.